GAUGAACGCUGGCGGCGUGCCUAAUACAUGCAAGUCGAGCGAACGGACGAGAAGCUUGCUUCUCUGAUGUUAGCGGCGGACGGGUGGGUAACACGUGGAUAACCUACCUAUAAGACUGGGAUAACUUCGGGAAACCGGAGCUAAUACCGGAUAAUAUUUUGAACCGCAUGGUUCAAAAGUGAAAGACGGUCUUGCUGUCACUUAUAGAUGGAUCCGCGCUGCAUUAGCUAGUUGGUAAGGUAACGGCUUACCAAGGCAACGAUGCAUAGCCGACCUGAGAGGGGGAUAGGCCACACUGGAACUGAGACACGGUCCAGACUCCUAAGGGAGGCAGCAGUAGGGAAUCUUCCGCAAUGGGCGAAAGCCUGACGGAGCAACGCCGCGUGAGUGAUGAAGGUCUUCGGAUCGUAAAACUCUGUUAUUAGGGAAGAACAUAUGUGUAAGUAACUGUGCACAUCUUGACGGUACCUAAUCAGAAAGCCACGGCUAACUACGUG
Molecule: ribosomal RNA, 497 nt
Filed under: uncultured bacterium
Lineage: Bacteria
Description: partial 16S ribosomal RNA
Rfam family: Bacterial small subunit ribosomal RNA
Source: RNAcentral